Molecule: ribosomal RNA, 254 nt
Filed under: uncultured bacterium
Lineage: Bacteria
Description: partial 16S ribosomal RNA
Rfam family: Bacterial small subunit ribosomal RNA
Source: RNAcentral
UACGUAGGGGGCGAGCGUUGUCCGGAUUUAUUGGGCGUAAAGAGCUCGUAGGCGGUUUGGUAAGUCGGGUGUGAAAUCUCCACGCUCAACGUGGAGGGGCCACUCGAUACUGCCAUGACUCGAGUCCGGUAGAGGAGUGUGGAAUUCCCGGUGUAGCGGUGAAAUGCGCAGAUAUCAGGAGGAACACCGGUGGCGAAGGCGGUUCUCUGGGCAUUACCUGACGCUGAGGAGCGAAAGUGUGGGGAGCGAACAGG